GGAGGAGCAUCUACUUCUGGGCUCAGUUAACCGUGGCAAACGGAAACCGCAGGUAAGGGAGGGGACCUCUGUACUCUGACGGAAGGACACUCUGAGGGGUGACCAGUCACAGGGGAAUCGGCAGUCUCCCAAGGCAUCAGAGUUUCGGCCAAGUUUUGCAGGCCCGUGGGGCUUGCCGGAGGGCCAAGCGUGCAGAAGGGUGGACGGUCUGAGCAGAGGAAUCAGCACACGCUGGGGUCGGCUUGAAGUGUGGCAAAUGGACGGCAGCUCGGCAAGAAUUCGGGGGCAGCUCGUCAGCAGGUGUCACUGAGCAACGAGGUCGGGGAAAGAAGAGAGGGAGAGACCGCGUCGGAGUGAGAGAUGGCUGGCAACGGGCUGCUAAAGGAAUUCCUAAUUGUUGACAUAAAUACCACGAGAGCACCAGCGAUUUGCAGAGUACCUACUGUGGAUUUUAAAUACUGUCCCAAGUUCCACAGGUGUUCCUCACGAAGAUCGAUGAGCGAAGUAACUGAAUGCCUACUUGUGCCAGGCGGUGGAAUUAUAGUGGUGAGCAGAAAGAACCAUCACAACCCUUAUGGAGCAUGCCGCC
This is a long non-coding RNA of Neofelis nebulosa (Clouded leopard), 589 nucleotides long. RefSeq lists it as uncharacterized. The record is from RefSeq and is a predicted model, not a curated record. Lineage: Eukaryota; Metazoa; Chordata; Mammalia; Carnivora; Felidae. The transcript has 3 exons.